RNAcentral lists this long non-coding RNA (848 nucleotides) under Canis lupus familiaris (dog). RNAcentral's name for it is "lncRNA (ENSCAFG00000059231.1)". The record is from RNAcentral. Lineage: Eukaryota; Metazoa; Chordata; Mammalia; Carnivora; Canidae.
CUCGGUCCCCCCACCCCUACUCGGCCACCCUCUGCUCGGCCCCUCCCACCCAUGCUCGGCCCUCCCCAUCCCUGCUCGGCCCCCCGACUCCCCCUCCCCCCCAUCCCGCGCGCCCCGCGGCCGCUCCCCGAUCCCGCGGCGCCCCCUGCAGGCCGUGCGCGCUCCUUGCAGGCCGGCCCUGGACCGUCGGACCCAGCAGCCUGUAGGCUCUAAUUUUCAGAGGCAAAGAAAAAAAGAAAAAAAAAAAAAAGAAAGAAAGAAAGAAAAAGCGUGGUGCUUCUUCACUUGCCUGUCAGGUGGAUCAUUUGAAGGCGAGAAAAGUAAACCGAAGGAAGGAGAAGGAAUCGACGGUCCCAGCCGCGCCGGGUAUUCCUUGCUAUGUGGUGGGAUCGCAAUUACGGCUUCGUGGACGACUCAGUACUCUGUGCGGUGGCACCUCGAGGAACCCCUGGCCCUCGCAGGACCCCGGGCUCCUUGUCGUUGGCAGAGCCCGGAUUUUCCCCAGACCCCGGGCACCGGGCUUCACCACCUGCGUCUUUAUAGAGCUGUGAGCGCUCCCAGGAGCAAAGUCUCGACUCCUUCGGCGGCUGCCACGAGCAGGACUUCUCCACGCCCCAAAGACUGGACUUAACGCGGCUUCCUGGGUCGCGGGGCUGCAGCGUCUGCUCUCAGGCCCCAGGCCCAGGCCCCCGCCCCGGCCACCUCCGUCCGUUCCCGUCAGGGGCCACCUGCCCUGGGAGCCGACCUGGGGUCAGUCAGGGCACCCGGGGGCUGAGGGCGGAUCGGGGCGGCGGGCGGGAGCGCCCUCGGCCUUCCCGCCCCGCCCGCCCGCUCUCCUGGGACGCGGG